Small nuclear RNA from Ochotona princeps (American pika), 110 nucleotides. Its record names the gene U2. It matches the Rfam family "U2 spliceosomal RNA". From Rfam's summary of the family: U2 is a small nuclear RNA (snRNA) component of the spliceosome (involved in pre-mRNA splicing). Complementary binding between U2 snRNA (in an area lying towards the 5' end but 3' to hairpin I) and the branchpoint sequence (BPS) of the intron results the bulging out of an unpaired adenosine, on the BPS, which initiates a nucleophilic attack at the intronic 5' splice site, thus starting the first of two transesterification reactions that mediate splicing. NCBI's taxonomy places the organism in Eukaryota, Metazoa, Chordata, Mammalia, Lagomorpha, Ochotonidae. The record is from Ensembl.
AUCGCUUCUCGGCCUUUUGGCUAAGAUCAAGUGUAGUAUCUGUUCUUAUCAGUAAACAGUUUCAUUGUAAGUCCAUCUUUGUCUGAAAGUAGAAAUGCAUGCCACACUAC